RNAcentral lists this ribosomal RNA (2903 nucleotides) under Klebsiella pneumoniae KCTC 2242. Its description in RNAcentral is "bacterial LSU rRNA". It matches the Rfam family "Bacterial large subunit ribosomal RNA". The record is from RNAcentral. Lineage: Bacteria; Pseudomonadati; Pseudomonadota; Gammaproteobacteria; Enterobacterales; Enterobacteriaceae.
GGUUAAGCGACUAAGCGUACACGGUGGAUGCCCUGGCAGUCAGAGGCGAUGAAGGACGUGCUAAUCUGCGAAAAGCGUCGGUAAGGUGAUAUGAACCGUUAUAACCGGCGAUGUCCGAAUGGGGAAACCCAGUGCAAUUCGUUGCACUAUCGUUAACUGAAUACAUAGGUUAACGAGGCGAACCGGGGGAACUGAAACAUCUAAGUACCCCGAGGAAAAGAAAUCAACCGAGAUUCCCCCAGUAGCGGCGAGCGAACGGGGAGCAGCCCAGAGUCUGAAUCAGCUUGUGUGUUAGUGGAACGGUCUGGAAAGUCCGACGGUACAGGGUGAUAGUCCCGUACACCAAAAUGCACAGGCUGUGAACUCGAAGAGUAGGGCGGGACACGUGGUAUCCUGUCUGAAUAUGGGGGGGCCAUCCUCCAAGGCUAAAUACUCCUGACUGACCGAUAGUGAACCAGUACCGUGAGGGAAAGGCGAAAAGAACCCCGGCGAGGGGAGUGAAAAAGAACCUGAAACCGUGUACGUACAAGCAGUGGGAGCACCUUCGGGUGUGACUGCGUACCUUUUGUAUAAUGGGUCAGCGACUUAUAUUCUGUAGCAAGGUUAACCGUAUAGGGGAGCCGCAGGGAAACCGAGUCUUAACUGGGCGUUAAGUUGCAGGGUAUAGACCCGAAACCCGGUGAUCUAGCCAUGGGCAGGUUGAAGGUUGGGUAACACUAACUGGAGGACCGAACCGACUAAUGUUGAAAAAUUAGCGGAUGACUUGUGGCUGGGGGUGAAAGGCCAAUCAAACCGGGAGAUAGCUGGUUCUCCCCGAAAGCUAUUUAGGUAGCGCCUCGUGAAUUCAUCUUCGGGGGUAGAGCACUGUUUCGGCUAGGGGGUCAUCCCGACUUACCAACCCGAUGCAAACUACGAAUACCGAAGAAUGUUAUCACGGGAGACACACGGCGGGUGCUAACGUCCGUCGUGAAGAGGGAAACAACCCAGACCGCCAGCUAAGGUCCCAAAGUCAUGGUUAAGUGGGAAACGAUGUGGGAAGGCACAGACAGCCAGGAUGUUGGCUUAGAAGCAGCCAUCAUUUAAAGAAAGCGUAAUAGCUCACUGGUCGAGUCGGCCUGCGCGGAAGAUGUAACGGGGCUAAACCAUGCACCGAAGCUGCGGCAGCGACACUAUGUGUUGUUGGGUAGGGGAGCGUUCUGUAAGCCUGCGAAGGUGACCUGUGAGGGUUGCUGGAGGUAUCAGAAGUGCGAAUGCUGACAUAAGUAACGAUAAAGCGGGUGAAAAGCCCGCUCGCCGGAAGACCAAGGGUUCCUGUCCAACGUUAAUCGGGGCAGGGUGAGUCGACCCCUAAGGCGAGGCCGAAAGGCGUAGUCGAUGGGAAACAGGUUAAUAUUCCUGUACUUGGUGUUACUGCGAAGGGGGGACGGAGAAGGCUAUGUUAGCCGGGCGACGGUUGUCCCGGUUUAAGCAUGUAGGCUGGUGUCCAGGCAAAUCCGGAUAAUCAAGGCUGAGGUGUGAUGACGAGGCACUACGGUGCUGAAGUAACAAAUGCCCUGCUUCCAGGAAAAGCCUCUAAGCAUCAGGUAACAUCAAAUCGUACCCCAAACCGACACAGGUGGUCAGGUAGAGAAUACCAAGGCGCUUGAGAGAACUCGGGUGAAGGAACUAGGCAAAAUGGUGCCGUAACUUCGGGAGAAGGCACGCUGGUGUGUAGGUGAAGUCCCUGCGGAUGGAGCUGAGACCAGUCGAAGAUACCAGCUGGCUGCAACUGUUUAUUAAAAACACAGCACUGUGCAAACACGAAAGUGGACGUAUACGGUGUGACGCCUGCCCGGUGCCGGAAGGUUAAUUGAUGGGGUUAUCCGUAAGGAGAAGCUCUUGAUCGAAGCCCCGGUAAACGGCGGCCGUAACUAUAACGGUCCUAAGGUAGCGAAAUUCCUUGUCGGGUAAGUUCCGACCUGCACGAAUGGCGUAAUGAUGGCCAGGCUGUCUCCACCCGAGACUCAGUGAAAUUGAACUCGCUGUGAAGAUGCAGUGUACCCGCGGCAAGACGGAAAGACCCCGUGAACCUUUACUAUAGCUUGACACUGAACAUUGAGCCUUGAUGUGUAGGAUAGGUGGGAGGCUUUGAAGCGUGGACGCCAGUCUGCGUGGAGCCAACCUUGAAAUACCACCCUUUAAUGUUUGAUGUUCUAACGUUGGCCCCUGACCGGGGUUGCGGACAGUGUCUGGUGGGUAGUUUGACUGGGGCGGUCUCCUCCCAAAGCGUAACGGAGGAGCACGAAGGUUAGCUAAUCCUGGUCGGACAUCAGGAGGUUAGUGCAAUGGCAUAAGCUAGCUUGACUGCGAGCGUGACGGCGCGAGCAGGUGCGAAAGCAGGUCAUAGUGAUCCGGUGGUUCUGAAUGGAAGGGCCAUCGCUCAACGGAUAAAAGGUACUCCGGGGAUAACAGGCUGAUACCGCCCAAGAGUUCAUAUCGACGGCGGUGUUUGGCACCUCGAUGUCGGCUCAUCACAUCCUGGGGCUGAAGUAGGUCCCAAGGGUAUGGCUGUUCGCCAUUUAAAGUGGUACGCGAGCUGGGUUUAGAACGUCGUGAGACAGUUCGGUCCCUAUCUGCCGUGGGCGCUGGAGAAUUGAGGGGGGCUGCUUCUAGUACGAGAGGACCGGAGUGGACGCAUCACUGGUGUUCGGGUUGUCAUGCCAAUGGCACUGCCCGGUAGCUAAAUGCGGAAGAGAUAAGUGCUGAAAGCAUCUAAGCACGAAACUUGCCCCGAGAUGAGUUCUCCCUGAGACUUUAAGUCUCCUGAAGGAACGUUAAAGACGAUGACGUUGAUAGGCCGGGUGUGUAAGCGCAGCGAUGCGUUGAGCUAACCGGUACUAAUGAACCGUGAGGCUUAACCUUAC